Molecule: long non-coding RNA, 359 nt
Organism: Populus euphratica (Euphrates poplar)
Lineage: Eukaryota; Viridiplantae; Streptophyta; Magnoliopsida; Malpighiales; Salicaceae
Exons: 3
Source: RefSeq, a predicted model, not a curated record
UUAAGUGUUGAUCAAGACGAGGAAUCUACGCCAACUUGUGAUGCUACCUCUUCUAGCGCGGUUUCACAGCGCAGAAGCGGUGUGCCUUCAUAGCAGGGUCAAUUCACCCGUAAGUACCAGGCACAAUGGAAGGAUGACCUCUCAAUGUUCACAAACAUUGAGGCUGCAAGGAUUAUAACAUCGGCGUUUAAAUCGUCGAUGGAGAUUCCAUUAUUUCAAUGGGGCCAGGUUUCCAGACAUCCUGAGUAAAAACCUAAUAUCGAUGCAUGGUUUAAGCGAUUUCAGAAAAAAUUUGAGUGGGGUAGGGCGGACAACAAUGUUGUGAGGAAGGUAUGGGAGAAUCACGCGGCAACUAGGUA